RNAcentral lists this unclassified non-coding RNA (175 nucleotides) under uncultured Hygrophorus. RNAcentral describes it as "sequence contains ITS2". Lineage: Eukaryota; Fungi; Basidiomycota; Agaricomycetes; Agaricales; Hygrophoraceae. The record is from RNAcentral.
AAUCAUCAAUCCUUUUUUAAAAAAGGCUUUGGACUUUGGAGUUUGCUGGCUUGUAAAAAAGAUAGCUUCUCUUAAAUGUAUUAGCUUGUAUUCCUUUGCAGAUAAGCUUUAGUUUGAUAGAUGUCUACUAUAGCUUGUGAAGUGAAUGCUAGCUUCCAAUUGUGCAAUUUUAAUC